CAGGAAGUGUCUUUACCACUUGGGUAAUGCAGUUGAAUAAUCACCGUGGGGAUGAAAUAUAUAACUGAAUUAGACUAGGUAAUGAAAUUGAUAGUAUAGGUAAUAUGUUCAGGGAAGCACUUUUGUUUAAGUGCUAUUGACCAAUAUAAAUUUAAGCCAUUUAUGCCAGCAUAUAGUUUAAUGAAAUGUUCUAUAAUUUAAUAAUGACAUUCAUUUUAAGCAUGUUUUGAGCAUUAU
This is a non-coding RNA of Pelobates cultripes (western spadefoot toad), 237 nucleotides long. The record is from the annotation of a GenBank genome assembly. Lineage: Eukaryota; Metazoa; Chordata; Amphibia; Anura; Pelobatidae.